RNAcentral lists this ribosomal RNA (596 nucleotides) under uncultured bacterium. RNAcentral's name for it is "bacterial SSU rRNA". It matches the Rfam family "Bacterial small subunit ribosomal RNA", at positions 47 to 644 of the family's 1533-position model. The record is from RNAcentral.
CCUAACACAUGCAAGUCGAACGGGAAGCGGUGCAUAUUGCUUCGGUGAUAAUGUGCCGUGGAGAGUGGCGAACGGGUGCGUAACACGUAGGUAACCUGCCCUGAAGGGGGGGAUAACCACGGGAAACUGUGGCUAAUACCGUAUAAUCUCGCCGUGGCGGUGGUUACGGUGAGGAAAGCUGAGGCGAUUUGGGAGGGGCCUGCGGUCGAUUAGCUGGUUGGUGGGGUAAAGGCCCACCAAGGCGAUGAUCGAUAGCUGUUCUGAGAGGAAGACCAGCCACACGGGAACUGAGACACGGUUCCGACUCCUACGGGGGGCAGCAGUGAGGAAUAUUGCGCAAUGGGGGGAACCCUGACGCAGCAACGCCGCGUGGAGGACGAAGGUUUUCGGAUUGUAAACUCCUUAACUGGGGGAAGAGAGAGGACGGUACCCCAGGACGAAGACACGGCUAACUAGGUGCCAGCAGCCGCGGUAAUACCUAGGUGUCGAGCGUUAUCCGGAAUUACUGGGCGUAAAGGGUGCGCAGGCGGUGUUACAAGUCCGGCGUGAAAGCUUCUGGCUUAACUGGGAGAGGACGUCGGAAACUGUAGUGUUAG